This 202-nucleotide long non-coding RNA is filed under the name Nicotiana benthamiana. Its description in RNAcentral is "long non-coding RNA (NBEN_LNC018497)". Lineage: Eukaryota; Viridiplantae; Streptophyta; Magnoliopsida; Solanales; Solanaceae. The record is from RNAcentral.
AACUCUAGGAGCCCCUAUCCUACAACCCUGAUUCUAGACCUCCAGACUUUCCUAUCAAGGGUCAUGUCCUCGGAAACCUGCUUUCUAGCCAUGUCCUGCCUAAUCCCCUCUCCCCAAUACUUCUUAGGCCUCCCUCUGCCUCGCCGACCGCCAACAAUCUCCAGCCGCUCGCAGCUCCUCACUGGAGCAUCGGGACUUCUCC